RNAcentral lists this ribosomal RNA (321 nucleotides) under uncultured eukaryote. RNAcentral describes it as "partial 18S ribosomal RNA". It matches the Rfam family "Eukaryotic small subunit ribosomal RNA", at positions 1470 to 1796 of the family's 1831-position model. The record is from RNAcentral.
CCCUUAGAUGUUCUGGGCCGCACGCGUGCUACACUGAGUGGAUCAGCGGGUCAGGUUGCGCGAAAGCGUUUCCUAAUCUUUAAAUCCGCUCGUGAUGGGGAUUGACGGUUGCAAUUUUCUGUCAUGAACGAGGAAUACCUUGUAAGCGCGGGUCAUCAUCCCGCGCUGAAUACGUCCCUGCCCUUUGUACACACCGCCCGUCGCACCUACCGAUUGAAUGGUCCGGUGAAGCCUCGGGAUUGUGGUUGGUUUCCUUUAUUGGAGAUUGAUUGCGAGAACUUGUCUAAACCUUAUCAUUUAGAGGAAGGUGAAGUCGUAACA